UACGGGGGGAGCAAGCGUUGUUCGGAUUUACUGGGCGUAAAGGGCGCGUAGGCGGCGUGACAAGUCACUUGUGAAAUCUCCGGGCUUAACUCGGAACGGUCAAGUGAUACUGUCGGGCUAGAGUGCAGAAGGGGCAACUGGAAUUCUCGGUGUAGCGGUGAAAUGCGUAGAUAUCGAGAGGAACACCUGCGGCGAAGGCGGGUUGCUGGGCUGACACUGACGCUGAGGCGCGAAAGCCAGGGGAGCGAACGGG
RNAcentral lists this ribosomal RNA (253 nucleotides) under uncultured bacterium. Its description in RNAcentral is "partial 16S ribosomal RNA". It matches the Rfam family "Bacterial small subunit ribosomal RNA", at positions 524 to 776 of the family's 1533-position model. The record is from RNAcentral.